GUGAGAACGGAGACGCCCACACAAGCCUGACAAUCUUCCGGUCUGCAGAGCCUUAAUGUACUUACGCCUGCAAAGCCCCUUUGCCUGUAAGGUGACCAGAGCCCAGAUUCUGAGGACUGGGAUACGUACAUCUUUCAGGCCACCUUUUGACGAUGGGGCUGUGCCCUGCCAGCUUCAGCCCUCUUCAUGUGGGUGAAACCACACCCAUGGGCUCCCCCAUGGAAAGCCCAACCACACAGCUCAGCAUGAGGAAGGAGGACAUGCAUGACAUUACAGGUUGUAAGGUUGGGAUUCACUGUGCACCCUUCUGCAGCAGAGGCCCCUCCCUGGGCAUCAAUUUCUCACCUGUUGCUUCAAGGGCUGGACCUCACUUGCCCACCCAUCGUUUGGGAAGAAAUCUUAGCCCCUGGUGGACGAGGCUGGAGAGGUGGUGAAGACAGGUGGGAAGAGCCAACCUGAAUGCAGGUGGCACCGUUUCAUGAGCUGGACCCUGAGCUGUAGAUGUGUGAAGAACACUGGCUGAGCAGCAGCGGCCAGCAAGCAAGGAUGCUGUGUUCAUCCUCUGGCUCUUGACCCGGGAUGUAUGCGGUACUUCAAGUUCCGGCCAGGACUUCCCUGCAGGAAUGGACUGUAACCUGGAAUCGCAAGCCAAACAAAUCCUUUCUUCCCUAAACUGCUUUUUG
Peromyscus maniculatus bairdii (prairie deer mouse) is the source of this 683-nucleotide non-coding RNA. The record is from RefSeq and is a predicted model, not a curated record. NCBI's taxonomy places the organism in Eukaryota, Metazoa, Chordata, Mammalia, Rodentia, Cricetidae.